AGGCCUAAUACAUGCAAGUCGAGGGGUAACAGGAAGUGCUUGCACUUCGCUGACGACCGGCGCACGGGUGAGUAUCGCGUAUACAAUCUGCCUCAUACUAGGGAAUAGCCCGAAGAAAUUUGGAUUAAUGCCCUAUAGUAUCUUUUUAAGGCAUCUUAUUAAGAUUAAAGGUUACGGUAUGAGAUGAGUAUGCGUUCUAUUAGCUAGUAGGUGUGGUAACGGCACACCUAGGCUACGAUAGAUAGGGGCCCUGAGAGGGGGAUCCCCCACACUGGUACUGAGACACGGACCAGACUCCUACGGGAGGCAGCAGUAAGGAAUAUUGGUCAAUGGACGAAAGUCUGAACCAGCCAUGCCGCGUGCAGGAUGACUGCCCUAUGGGUUGUAAACUGCUUUUAUAUAGGAAGAAAAACUUUCUCGUGAGAAAGCUUG
This 432-nucleotide ribosomal RNA is filed under the name uncultured Bacteroidota bacterium. RNAcentral's name for it is "bacterial SSU rRNA". It matches the Rfam family "Bacterial small subunit ribosomal RNA", at positions 44 to 471 of the family's 1533-position model. The record is from RNAcentral. Lineage: Bacteria; Pseudomonadati; Bacteroidota.